This is a non-coding RNA of Pristionchus pacificus, 61 nucleotides long. Lineage: Eukaryota; Metazoa; Nematoda; Chromadorea; Rhabditida; Neodiplogasteridae. The record is from Rfam.
UCUUCAUUUCGCACACUCACUCACCGGUCAGACAGGCGAGAGAGUGUGUGAGAUGAAGAGA